Molecule: long non-coding RNA, 882 nt
Organism: Coffea eugenioides
Lineage: Eukaryota; Viridiplantae; Streptophyta; Magnoliopsida; Gentianales; Rubiaceae
Exons: 3
Source: RefSeq, a predicted model, not a curated record
UCUUCCCAUUAUCGAUCGCCAUAUCUAAUGCUCUGUUGGAGCAUUCCUGCCGCCGCCUCCUCCACUUGGGCUGGCCACUGCAUAACACAGGUUGAAAUUAUGGGGUUUUAAUUAGUAUCUGUCAGCCUUCCCCUUCCCUUCCAGUGAAUGAGUUGAGAAUUGAUUCGAUGAGUGAAGAAUGAAAUUUCAUUACCAAUUUGGCAAAAUUCAUUGAUCAAUUCCAUCUUAGCGUCCAAGGACAAACAAAAGUGCCCAACUUCUUCGUUAUUUCCUUGAAGCUGAUACUUGUUCAGGAGAGAACGAGGAAUAGUCUCUAUUAUUAGCAGUCUCUCCCUAGCAUCAGGCGAGAACGACAUGGCUUUGUAAUUUACUCCCUACUAUUCCAGAUUUUUCAGAUAGAAUUAGAGUAUAUAAAGGAAGGCUUGUUUAACCUUGCCCUGCAUUUAAGUGAAGUCGGUGCAUUCUUCUUGAUAUCAAAGUUGUGGGCUGAUAUGAAGUUGGGCAUGCUUAAAGGCUGAAGAUCGUCACUUCAGUCUUCCUUGUAUCUGUGGUUUUAUAAAGAGUUAUGCUUGAACAUAUACAAUUCGUGGCUAUCAACAAUCCUUACGGCUCAAUGCGCAGCUACCUAAGUGAAGAAUUGAUAUGAACAAACAAAGGGGUAUUUGGAGAUAUGUGUUUUGGCUGGAAUUUUUUUUGUUUUUAAGUUUCUAUUUAUUUACUGAAGAACAUAAAACAGAGACAGAAACAAGACGAGGCGGUUGGAGUAGGGGUGGAAACGGGAGAAGCAGAAAUUGGUUUAUACAGUUGGCCUCUUGAGUUAGGAUUUAUUUGUAACUGAUAGUUUUUAGCUUUUUGGUUUAUGCAGUUGAAGCAUUUGAUCAA